This 465-nucleotide ribosomal RNA is filed under the name uncultured bacterium. RNAcentral describes it as "partial 16S ribosomal RNA". It matches the Rfam family "Bacterial small subunit ribosomal RNA", at positions 28 to 507 of the family's 1533-position model. The record is from RNAcentral.
GACGAACGCUGGCGGCGUGCUUAACACAUGCAAGUCGAACGGAAAGGCCCCUUUGGGGGUACUCGAGUGGCGAACGGGUGAGUAACACGUGAGUAACCUGCCCUUGACUUCGGGAUAACUUCAGGAAACUGGGGCUAAUACCGGAUAGGAAUCCUUGCUGCAUGGUGGGGGUUGGAAAGCUUCGGCGGUUUUGGAUGGACUCGCGGCUUAUCAGCUUGUUUGUGGGGUAGUGGCUUACCAAGGCUUUGACGGGUAGCCGGCCUGAGAGGGCGAACGGCCACAUUGGGACUGGGAUACGGCCCAGACUCCUACGGGAGGCAGCAGUGGGGAAUAUUGCACAAUGGGCGGAAGCCUGAUGCAGCAACGGCGCGGGCGGGAUGACGGCCUUCGGGUUGUAAACCGCUUUCAGCAGGGGCGAAGCUUGUGGUGACGGUACCUGCAGAAGAAGCACCGGCUAACUACGUG